This 496-nucleotide long non-coding RNA is filed under the name Gopherus agassizii (Agassiz's desert tortoise). RNAcentral's name for it is "lncRNA (ENSGAGG00000016272.1)". The record is from RNAcentral. Lineage: Eukaryota; Metazoa; Chordata; Testudines; Testudinidae.
UGUAAGCAGAGCUCCAGUGGACUGAUGGGAGUUUCCCAGGUGCUUAGGGAUAUUUGAUCUUUCUUCCCACAGUUCCCCUGAGCAACAGUCAGACGUUUUGAAAUCACUCACAAGGUACUUCUGUUGGGAGUUGUACUGGAGACUCUGGGAUACAUAUCCACAGGGUUGUACGACUGAACUGGUUUAGAUCAGCCCACGUGUGGACAUAGAAUGGAAAUGCGACGCUUCUUAAACUGAGCCAGCCUGGCCAGCCACAUGUUCCUUCUCCUUCUUCAUUCAGUCCAGGUCCCUCAUGCAUUGGGAACCGUAAGCCUCUACUUUGCUGUAACUGAUGAGUGGAAGUGACAGUUCCAUCAGGUGGCUAGGAGCUUCGCUGACUGCAAGGCCUGAAGGGCUGAGGACUCCUUGCUCAGAUUUUACGCAUUAGCAGCGUAACAAGUCGUACAGACAGACACUGAUGAAUUGGACCUGUGCUCACAUUGGAUUAAAUCCUAGC